UAGUGGAAGUGACGGGCAGUUUGUACACUUUCAUUUACAAUUUUCAAAAAAUUAUAAUCAAAUUUUUUUACUUUUAAAUUCAUUUUUAGUCUUUUUCAAGUCCAUUUUCACUUAAGAUUUUCUGAUUUACAAGUUUACUUUUCUGUAAUCUUCAUCUUUACCUGACUUAUUAAUUUAAAAAUUUUACUAAAGAAAAGUGUCUAUCUCUCAUUUAGACGGCGAUAUAAAAAAUGUGAAACUAAAAAAAGUAAGAUUAAAGGGGAUCUACUUUUACGCUCAUAAAUCUCUAAUUUGAAAGAAAGCCGCCAUAAAUUUUAGUUUAAUCCCUCUAAAUAAAACAUAAUUUCACUUCCAUAAUAGGGUAUC
This 366-nucleotide ribosomal RNA is filed under the name Liposcelis corrodens. Its description in RNAcentral is "partial 12S ribosomal RNA". The record is from RNAcentral. Lineage: Eukaryota; Metazoa; Arthropoda; Insecta; Psocodea; Liposcelididae.